RNAcentral lists this long non-coding RNA (774 nucleotides) under Homo sapiens (human). RNAcentral's name for it is "HSALNT0124722". The record is from RNAcentral. Lineage: Eukaryota; Metazoa; Chordata; Mammalia; Primates; Hominidae.
GCCCAUGCAAGCGUCAGUUUCUAUAGAUUUACAGCAGAUCCACGUCUACUGCAGAAAUACAAUCAGGUUUCUGGUGGCGUGUCUCAUGCUUGGAAUACACAUUUGAGGCGAUUCCUGGCAUGUGUGUACCCCAGUAGCCACAGGGUUUACCACCUCUGGGGGCUGUGCCUCCACUGCUUGGAAGGUGACCCAGGCCCUGAUGAAAACAAUGGGUUCUCCUGCCAAAUGCCUGGCUGUAGUUCCAAACUGAUGGGCUGUGGGCCAGAUGUGGCUGCAUCUGGUUUGUUGUGGUACUGUUUUUUUUUUUUUUCCUUGCGUAGCCUUUCUUAUAAAUGUGAAUGAAACUUGUCAAACUUUAAAAACCAAAAAAUUUCAAAUAAAGACCUGAUUUUUUUUUUCUUCCUUCUCUUGAGAAGUUGGAAUACUGUUCCGUACUGGACUUGACAAACAAGGAGCUUUAGAGGAAGGCACACUCACCCUUUGGCCAGUCCCCAUCUGAGUCCCUCCUCUGUUCAGAGUUUCCUGCCUAUACCUUGGAGACAUGAAUUCAUGAUAAGGCCCUGUUCAAGCCAGCAGGGGCCUUGCUGGCUUCCCCCUAGUUCCUGCCUUAUCCCUAUCCUAGUCCUUUGAUCUCUGGCUUCCUAUCUUUUGGUGUCUUAGUAAUUUGUAUUUCUUAUUUUAAAAUAAGUAGUGCAGGAUGAAUAUUUAUAUUCCAUUUAAACAACAUUUUUAUAUAGUUGGAAAAAGAAAAGAUUUUUGGAUAUAUAUUUUAUU